GACGAACGCUGGCGGCGUGCUUAACACAUGCAAGUCGAGCGGUAAGGCCCUUUCGGGGGUACGACGAGCGGCGAACGGGUGAGUAACACGUGGGUGACCUGCCCUUAGCUCUGGGAUAAGCCUGGGAAACUGGGUCUAAUACCGGAUAUGACUCCAUGACGCAUGUUGUGGGGUGGAAAGCCUUGUGCGGCUAGGGAUGGGCCCUGCGGCCUAUCAGCUUGUUGGUGGGGUGAUGGCCUACCAAGGCGACGACGGGUAGCCGGCCUGAGAGGGCGACCGGCCACACUGGGACUGAGACACGGCCCAGACUCCUACGGGAGGCAGCAGUGGGGAAUCUUGCGCAAUGGGCGAAAGCCUGACGCAGCGACGCCGCGUGGGGAUGACGGCCU
This 389-nucleotide ribosomal RNA is filed under the name uncultured bacterium. Its description in RNAcentral is "bacterial SSU rRNA". It matches the Rfam family "Bacterial small subunit ribosomal RNA", at positions 28 to 417 of the family's 1533-position model. The record is from RNAcentral.